RNAcentral lists this ribosomal RNA (94 nucleotides) under uncultured archaeon. RNAcentral describes it as "partial 16S ribosomal RNA". The record is from RNAcentral.
CUCCCUCGUUGCUGACCCCAGGUUCGAUAGUGCCAAUUAGGCAUCACCUCGCCAAGAACCAACUUCGAUGAAGCGACGGGCGGUGUGUGCAAGG